RNAcentral lists this ribosomal RNA (425 nucleotides) under uncultured bacterium. RNAcentral's name for it is "partial 16S ribosomal RNA". It matches the Rfam family "Bacterial small subunit ribosomal RNA", at positions 354 to 796 of the family's 1533-position model. The record is from RNAcentral.
GUGGGGAAUCUUAGACAAUGGGCGCAAGCCUGAUCUAGCCAUGCCGCGUGAGCGAUGAAGGCCUUAGGGUUGUAAAGCUCUUUCGCUGGGGAAGAUAAUGACUGUACCCAGUAAAGAAGCCCCGGCUAACUCCGUGCCAGCAGCCGCGGUAAUACGGAGGGGGCUAGCGUUGUUCGGAAUUACUGGGCGUAAAGCGCGCGUAGGCGGAUUGGAAAGUUGGGGGUGAAAUCCCGGGGCUCAACCUCGGAACUGCCUUCAAAACUCCCAGUCUUGAGUGCGAGAGAGGUGAGUGGAAUUCCGAGUGUAGAGGUGAAAUUCGUAGAUAUUCGGAGGAACACCAGUGGCGAAGGCGGCUCACUGGCUCGAUACUGACGCUGAGGUGCGAAAGCGUGGGGAGCAAACAGGAUUAGAAACCCGGGUAGUCC